CUGAACUAUGCCCCUACUCGAAAAGUAACAGGUCUUUGGCGUGGCUUUAAUAUAUCAUUCAGACAACUGACUGAUAUCAUAAUUCCACUCAAAUAUUUUUAUGUGAAUACAAACAUUUCUCUAAUUAAUAAUCUAUUUUGUAAAUAGUUUAUCUUUCCUCUAUAAUAGUUCAAAUUUUGUGGAGCUAGUAUUAGCUAGAUAGUAAUCCUAUACAAUCUAAAGUGGCCAUGAAUUGCUGCUUUUAUAUAUUUCAUUCUUUUUAUGUGAAAUUGAUUUGCUGAGAUUGACUUUUAAUUAACCAUAUGAUACCAGUCGUUCUGUGCCAUGAUUUUUUGCUCUCCUAUCGUGCGAGCUCCGAUACCCGACAGAAGGCUCCGAGUCAUCGCUGUGCGUCUUAUUUUAAGAAUAGAACAGAUUGCGCCGUUGGUUCUAAAACUCGCUUCUUUCUCAACUCGGCGUCCAAGUUCUUUGCAGUAACAGUCGUGUUUCAGCUAUCCCAGCUGCUGCUGCUUCUCGUCUACUCACGUAAAGAGCUGUUGCUUGCUAGUGUGAAAGUGCGCGUGCUUGCAUCUACGACUUGUUAACCCAUUUGUAGGAAUAAGUUUAUCGUUAACAGAAGCACAGCUUUUACCGUUAUUUAUUCCAACAAGCUUACGUUUCUCGACUCUACUGUGCUUUACUGUUCGUGAUUAGCCUUAAAGAUGUUGUAAUACUAUGGAGUUUAGAAAGUGAUCCUAAACUGGGCAAUAUCUCUUCACAAAACUUUGUACUUCACGUUUGUUCAAGCAGGAGAAAUUUUGGAGGAA
This 806-nucleotide long non-coding RNA is filed under the name Daphnia magna. RNAcentral's name for it is "uncharacterized LOC123475463, transcript variant X1". The record is from RNAcentral. Lineage: Eukaryota; Metazoa; Arthropoda; Branchiopoda; Diplostraca; Daphniidae.